GCUGCUGUUCUCACCCCCCUACCCCACCCAGGACUUGGCAGGGCAUGAGUGGGUAUGUUAUGAGGGGGAGUCCUGAAUUGAUCUGGACCCCACAACUGUCCCUCACCUCCACCCACUCCUCAGACAGGAGCUCAAGUCCAGCCUCUGCUAAGUCUGCUGCCUCCUUUCCCCUGUCUCAGGGGCCCUGAUCCCCUCUUUCUGCAGAGAGAGUCAGGGCAGAGGGAGGCAGUGUUUCUGCUGGGUCUGUGGAGGAGGCCGAGGGCUGGGUGUACCCUGGCUGGCAGCCCAGGAAGCCUGAGCAUGUAAUUAAAAGAUUGUAUCUUCUCGGGUCUGCCUUUUGGGACAAGAGCUCCCAGUGUUGUCUUCGCUUUAUGACCUCUGUUUGGGCACUUAGUCCCCUGCUGCCUGGCUCUGUUCUGUCCUCUUAGGCAGGGCUGGCAGCUCAGUUCAACUGGUUCUGAGCACAGGGAGGAUAGACUCCCCUUCUCUCCUUGUAGCAGGGUGAGAGAUCGGCCUCCCUACUGCUGGUAAAGCACCGUAGCAUCCAUCCUCGAGGGAGAUAUCCUCAUUUUACAGAGUCCACCCAGCUAGUAAACCUACCCUUGGCUCCAGCUCUCCUAGCCUGGGAAUCCCGGGGCACUCUUGGUCCUGAUGCCAGGCCCAGGGGCCAGCGUCCUCCUCCAGACUUGCUUUUCCAAGAGGCCCCACCUCUGCCAGCUGGCUCGUCCGAGACAGGAACAAGGGCGUCCUCCGAGGUGAUCUGCUGCCUCCGCCUUGCUGGCUGCUGUCCUUGAAACGGUAGCUUAUCAAGGUAGGAAGAUGGGAAAUUCCGCUCUCUACUAUCCCAUCACACUUGUGGUUCACGUUUGUGCCAUGAAUCAAUGUCACGUCUGGAAGUCAGAGGUACUUAAACUUAACCCAAAUGCACAUUCUUUCCCUUUUUGAAAACUAAGAAACAUCUUGUGUUUCCCUGGCUAUUGGCUUCUUUCCCAAAUUUCUCAGAAUUCAUGGACAGUGGCUCUGUAAUCUUAUCUCCAAGUUCUGAUGAGAUUCCUCUGAAGCUGAAGCUUGUGUAAUUUCGCCAGAUGCUCCCACACCUCUUCUCUGAUCUUAGGCUUGAUAUUCUUCUUCUGGAAUCUGCCUUUACACUUCUAGUUUGAGAAUUACUACUCUUUUUAUUUUUUUUUAAGAUUUUAUUUAUUUAUUCAUGAGAGACACACAGGCAGAGGGAGAAGCAGGCUCCUCGCAGGGGAGCCCGAUGUGGGACUCGAUCCCAGGACCCCGGGAUCACAACCUGAGCCAAAGGCAGACGCUCAACCACUGAGCCACCCAGAUGCCCCAAGAA
Molecule: long non-coding RNA, 1345 nt
Filed under: Canis lupus familiaris (dog)
Lineage: Eukaryota; Metazoa; Chordata; Mammalia; Carnivora; Canidae
Description: lncRNA (ENSCAFG00845002404.1)
Source: RNAcentral